Molecule: transfer RNA, 66 nt
Filed under: Sibon nebulatus (cloudy snail-eating snake)
Lineage: Eukaryota; Metazoa; Chordata; Lepidosauria; Squamata; Dipsadidae
Description: tRNA-Thr
Rfam family: tRNA
About the family: Transfer RNA (tRNA) molecules are approximately 80 nucleotides in length. Their secondary structure includes four short double-helical elements and three loops (D, anti-codon, and T loops).
Source: RNAcentral
GCUCUAGUAGCUUAACCUUUAAAGCAUUGUUUUUGUAAACCAAAGAUGGGUUUACCCCCUAGAACA